CUCUUUGUGCUGUUUCACCAGGGAACCAAUCCACUCCAUGGUUUUCUGCUUGGCUUCCUCCCAGCUGAAGAGCGGCUUAUACCCCAGAUCCCGCUGAGCUUUCUUAUAGGAGAAGCCUCCCUGGGAUACUAUACCCUUCAGAUUGACAUUCAUGAUGGUCUCUCGGUGAAGGACAUUCAUGACGUCAAUGACAGAGGCAGUGUGAAUGACAACCGAGAUGCCCUGGCAAGCUCUCUUCAGGCACUGCUCAUCCAGAAUGUCUCCUUCCACCAUCAUCAAAUUGGUCUUGCUCUGGAGCUCUGUGUGAACACAAGGCAGGUCACUGGAAGGUUUUCUGGAUCUGAAAGUUUCCUGAUAAAGGGAGCGUUUUCCCAGGUCUUCAAGCACAGGUAUCAGUGCCGAAAAUAAGUCAGCCACCAAGGGACUAACAUUCUGGCCAUUGAGCCAAGGGCAGUGGAUUCAACCUCAGGGACAUCACCUUCUUGGAAAUUCACAGGAAGGGGCACUUCAGGCUGGCUCCGAUCAACCUAUUAGUUUGCAGGGGUGCGGAGAGACCAGAAGAGGGCGCUGCCGAUGUGUGGGUGGUCGAGGCGCAGCUCCCGCCUUCCUCAAGGCUCUGCGGACUCCUGCAUUCUGCACAGCCCGAACUCUCCCUUGCUUACACGGUGUGGGCUGCCUUGUAGGGAGGCCCUGAGAGAAGCUACUAGACGAAUUAGUGGCUAAGAGCACAGCCGCUGCACUUAGACCUUCGGGGUUCAGUUCCAGCGUUGCCAUUUUUCAGCGGGGGGACCUUGAACAAGUUAGCCUUUGCUAUGGUCUGCGAGUUUGUGUCCUGCCAAAUUCAUGCGUCGAAAUCCUAAUGCCGGUGUGAUGCUGUCAGGAGAUGGGGCCUUCUCUCGAGAAGGGUCUCGAGGGUUUGACCUCAUGAGGGGGUCAUCGAAAAGAGAUCCCAGAGAGAGCCCUCUACAGCAAGAAGACACAGGCUCUGAACGCCGAGGGAGCUCUCACCAGAACAUGACUCUGCUUUGCUCUUGGACUUCUGCCCCCAGAGCUGUGAGAAAUAAAAUAUCUAACGGGUUGAAGCCACCCAGCCUGGGGGAUCUUUUUGUAGCAGCCUUAGCAGACUAAGACACCCUUCUGUGCCUGCUUUCUUGUUUAAAAAGAGGAGGAUAACAUUACCUAUCCUCCAGGGAUGGUACCAGGAGCAAAUGAAUCGACCUGCGUAGAACACGGAGCGCAAUGCCUAGUGUAGACAGACCGCUGUGAGGAUUCUCCAUUGGGAUCUGUAGAGAGCCCCCUGCCCGCCCCGGAUGCAGCCUGACUGGUCACACCAGGGAACUGUCUUCUGGUUGAACCUUGCCUUUCCCCGCAUGGGCUGUCAGACUGUGAGUAUUACUGAGAAGAAAAGAUCGCAAACAAGUGGUGCUGAUCGUGUAUGUUCAUAUGUGUUCAUCAGAGGCCCCGUUGAAGCAAAGGGUAGAGGAAAUAGGACAUGUGAGAUGUUCAGAGCACAGGAAUGAGGAAGAGAAGAGUGAUGGGUACAGUCCUGGAGGGCGGCGGGGGGUGUGGGAGGUUGUGUGUGGAGAGGUAGGGUCUUCCGCGCACCCUGGGCCUGCAUGUUGACACCCAGUCCACAGGGGCUGGGAAGGGGAGGGGCUGCUUUGGGGGAUACACAGUGGGGAAAUGGGAGAGACUGAAGACUCCCUUUGCCAAGAGGCAGCCUUAGAGCCAUAUGACGGGGACAUCCGUGAUGAGGCUCUCUCUACUCUGAGCCCUGCAGUCCAUUAAUCAGAGUGCCUCGGCAAGUUGCUUUACCUUCAUAUACCUUGAUUUCCUCAACACCCUGUUGGGGGAGAGCCCCUUCCUACCUUCCUCAAAGGGCUGUUUCAAGGAUUUGGGGGUGAAACAGGUUUUUAGAAGUCUAGGUUGGCAUUAGCACCGGGGCAGCAGU
Mustela lutreola (European mink) is the source of this 1951-nucleotide long non-coding RNA. RefSeq lists it as uncharacterized. The record is from RefSeq and is a predicted model, not a curated record. The transcript has 4 exons. NCBI's taxonomy places the organism in Eukaryota, Metazoa, Chordata, Mammalia, Carnivora, Mustelidae.